UACGUAGGGUGCAAGCGUUAAUCGGAAUUACUGGGCGUAAAGCGUGCGCAGGCGGCUUUGCAAGACAGAUGUGAAAUCCCCAGGCUCAACCUGGGAACUGCAUUUGUGACUGCAUGGCUAGAGUACGGUAGAGGGGGAUGGAAUUCCGCGUGUAGCAGUGAAAUGCGUAGAUAUGCGGAGGAACACCGAUGGCGAAGGCAAUCCCCUGGGCCUGCACUGACGCUCAUGCACGAAAGCGUGGGGAGCAAACAGG
RNAcentral lists this ribosomal RNA (253 nucleotides) under uncultured bacterium. RNAcentral describes it as "partial 16S ribosomal RNA". It matches the Rfam family "Bacterial small subunit ribosomal RNA", at positions 524 to 776 of the family's 1533-position model. The record is from RNAcentral.